Molecule: long non-coding RNA, 396 nt
Filed under: Bos taurus (domestic cattle)
Lineage: Eukaryota; Metazoa; Chordata; Mammalia; Artiodactyla; Bovidae
Description: long non-coding RNA NONBTAT019043
Source: RNAcentral
UAAAUUUCCUAAAUGAGUCUUGACCUUGAAUAUUAAAGUUGAAGAACUUUGAUUUAAUUAAUGACAAUGACUAGCUUAAGAUAUAGAAGACAUUUAAAUUUUUGAAAAGAGCUCGUGUUUAUUGAAGAAUCAUACUGGUAAGCUGCCAGUUUUCAUUUACUAAAAUGUGUCAGGAAAAUAUAAAAUGAUAUUUUUAAAACUUUAUUUGCUAAUUCAUCACUAGUGUAACUUUCCUUUUAAAAUUAGGGAGAUGGUGACAAAGGAAGUUAUCAUUUGAAAUGAGUUAAAUCACUGAAAUGUUGAAAAACUUUUUUGCAGAACUUUUGUUUUUAUUAACUUCACUUUAAGAUAGUAAAAAAUACUAUAAAGCUGUCAAAACCGAGUUUAUCAGUAACC